AUUGAACGCUGGCGGCAUGCUUUACACAUGCCAGUCGAACGGCAGCGCGGGCUUCGGCCUGGCGGCGAGUGGCGAACGGGUGAGUAAUACAUCGGAACGUGCCCAGUAGUGGGGGAUAGCUCGGCGAAAGCCGGAUUAAUACCGCAUACGACCUGAGGGUGAAAGCGGGGGAUCUUCGGACCUCGCGCUAUUGGAGCGGCCGAUGGCAGAUUAGCUAGUUGGUGGGGUAAAGGCCUACCAAGGCGACGAUCUGUAGCUGGGCUGAGAGGACGACCAGCCACACUGGGACUGAGACACGGCCCAGACUCCUACGGGAGGCAGCAGUGGGGAAUUUUGGACAAUGGGCGAAAGCCUGAUCCAGCAAUGCCGCGUGUGUGAUGAAGGCCUUCGGGUUGUAAAGCACUUUUGGCGGGAACGAAAAGGACUGUGCCAAUACCACGGUUCGAUGACGGUACCCGCAGAAUAAGCACCGGCUAACUACGUGC
RNAcentral lists this ribosomal RNA (485 nucleotides) under uncultured bacterium. Its description in RNAcentral is "partial 16S ribosomal RNA". It matches the Rfam family "Bacterial small subunit ribosomal RNA", at positions 29 to 508 of the family's 1533-position model. The record is from RNAcentral.